CAAAAACAGAAACUGACCUAACUUUUAAAAAUUUCUUAUAAUCCACCUUCUAGAAAUGAAUAACAGAUUGGUCCUUUUUUUCUAAAAUGGCAAUAAGCAUGGUUUGAGUUGACCCCCUCAAAAAUCACCAAAUCCUUUAAUCACACUAUUUUUUGCAACUUAAAAGGAAAACAAAUACAGCAGCUUAACACUAAUUUAUUAUGAGAUCAAAUCCCUCAAAUUUGAAGUGACUCCAAAGAAUUUAUUGUAAACCACAAAUAUUGCGUUUUUUGCACGAAUGUAGCAAACCAUAUUCCUUUCGAAGUAAAAGAAUUUAUUUUCAACAAAGAAAACCGAACACAUGAGGUACAAUUAUAUAAAGAACUUAUUAUAUGUUCUAUACCAACCAUUUUCAUUAUGCAUAAAAUAUUUAGGCCUUUCAAAAAUAAGACAUUAUGUUUCAAAAAUAUUAACUUAAAUUUAUAUAUAUUAUUAAAUAAUAAAAUUUGCAUUCACUAAAACAACAAUUUGCAUUAGAUGCAACAAUUGUAUCCAUACUACUUUAGGCAAUUCAACAAUCGCUAAGACUGCUUUAGGUAAUUCAAGUUUCAAUUUUGUGUUCCAUUAGCCAAUACAUGAAUCCAUACUACACAAACCAACCUGCUAACCAAGAUCUUUUAGUUUCUCCAAAAGAAAAACAUGUUUUUAUUCCUUCCUGCUAAAAGAGCUUCACCAAAGAAAUUCGCCAUGUAUUACUUCUGAGCCAACUUCUGAAUUUGCAACUUGAAUACCAAGAUUCUUUUCUAAAAUAAAAUCUAAAUAACCUUGUCUUUUUCCAAAUCCUUCUCAAAUUUCACCUAAAACUAACAAAACUACAGCAUGCCUCUUGAGACUGUUCUAGGGGUGAUCACAAAGCAACCAAACCAACAGAAAUUGAAAGAAUCUGACUUGGACAUAGUCACGGCCACCAAUAACAUAGUAAACCCAACACCAACAACAUUUCAUUGCUACUACCAAUCCUGAAAUAUAAUACAAUUAAUAGUGGCCAAGAAAGUCCAAAAGCUUUAUGCUAGAGAAUCAACGUUUAGAAUGCAACACAUACAUGGUGCAUAAAUAACAAAUAAAGGGAGAUCAGAGUAACCUCUACCAACAUCCAAAUAGGACAUAUACACAGGUGUUAUAAAGAAGUCGAAGGAAAACAGGCAGGAUAUUGGUUUUCAAAGACAUUUGCACGUAGCCAAAGCCCAGAGAAUCAAUCAGUUUUAAAAAAUCCACAAGUAAAAAUUUCUCAAUUCUUAUCGCCAUAUUUGUUGAGUACAAACAACUUGACAAAAAACACAUCCAAACUACAGAUCAUAUUCAUUGGUUCUAAAAGUUUCUAUCCACUAUACUGGCCACCAAGUAGAAACAACUAACAAGAAAUUCAAAUUAUUUCUCAACAUUGCUCAAGACCGAACGUGGGAAGAUUUCUGAGAAAAAGAGAAGAACCUUACCGAUUUCUCCGACGGCAGAGGAGUGCGACGGCGUGUUUGGCGACGGUCGACGAGUACGACGGUACAUGAGCGACGGCAGAAGGGGAACCUUCGGGUCCUGGAAGUUAUGCAAACUAGGGUUCUUGAUUUGGGGGAAUUUCGAGGAAAUUUGGGAGUGAAAAAUGAUGUGCUUCGGGUAUGGGACAAAUUGGAGG
This 1666-nucleotide long non-coding RNA is filed under the name Gossypium barbadense (sea-island cotton). RNAcentral's name for it is "long non-coding RNA (GBAR_LNC020196)". The record is from RNAcentral. Lineage: Eukaryota; Viridiplantae; Streptophyta; Magnoliopsida; Malvales; Malvaceae.